CUUACUAACCGAUAGUGAACAGUACCGUGAGGGAAAGGUGAAAAGAACCCCUGGAGGGGAGUGAAAUAGAACCUGAAACUGUGUGCUUACAAGCGGUCAGAGCAGAGCGAUUCGUCGCGUGUGAUGGCGUGCCUUUUGGAGAAUGAUCCUGCGAGUUACGAUCAAUGGCGAGGUUAAGUAUAACGGAGCCGAAGGGAAACCGAGUCUGAAUAGGGCGAAUUAGUCGUUGGUUGUAGACGCGAAACCUGGUGAUCUAUGCCUGUCCAAGAUGAAGCAGUGGUAAGACACUGUGGAGGUCUGAACCCACCGUCGUUGAAAAGCCGGGGGAUGAGGUAGGUAUAGGGGUGAAAAGCCAAUCGAACCAGGAGAUAGCUCGUUCUCUCCGAAAUGCAUUUAGGUGCAGCCUUGAUUGUUUAAAUAUGGGGGUAGAGCACUGAAUGGUCUAGCGGGCAUAUUGCUUAGCGAAAUCAAUCAAACUCCGAAUACCAUAUUUCAUGAGAUCAGGAGUGAGACUAUGGGUACUAAGAUCCAUGGUCAAAAGGGAAACAGCCCAGACCACCAACUAAGGUCCCAAAUUAUAUCUAAGUGGGAAAGGAGGUGGAGAUUCUGAAACAACCAGGAUGUUGGCUUAGAAGCAGCCAUACAUUUAAAGAGUGCGUAAUAGCUCACUGGUCGAGAGUCUCUGCGCCGACAAUGUAACGGGGCUAAGAUAUAAACCGAAGUUGUGGAGUAUACACGAUGUGUAGACUGGUAGGAGAGCGUUCCGUAGGCCGUUGAAGGAUAAGGGGUGACCCAAUCUGGAGGUAUCGGAAGUGAGAAUGCAGGAAUGAGUAGCGAGAAAGAGGGUGAGAAUCCCUCUCGCCGGAAAACCAAGGUUUCCAGAGUAAAGCUUGUCUUCUCUGGGUAAGCCGGGACCUAAGCCGAGGCUAGAUUGCGUAGGCGAAUGGAAAGCAGUUUAAUAUUACUGCGCCACUAUAAUUUGUUUGAGAGAUGGAGGGACGCAGAAGGGUAUGUACGCAGACUGUUGGAUAUGUCUGUAUAAGCAUGUAGGAUGGAACCGCAGGAAAAUCCACGGUUUUAGAUCUGAGGUGUGAUGUAUAUUGCUUGUAAUGAGCGAGAAUGUACAAAUCCCACGCUGCCGAGAAAAGCUUCUAUUGAGAAUUAUAGUGCCCGUACCGUAAACCGACACAGGUGGUUAGGAUGAGAAAUCUAAGGCGUACAGGCUAACUCUCGCUAAGGAACUCUGCAAAAUGGCCCCGUAACUUCGGGAGAAGGGGUGCCAUUAAAGGUGAUAAGUACAAGCGACUUUGAGCCCUUGAUGGCCGCAGUGAAGAGAUUCGAGCAACUGUUUAGCAAAAACACAGGUCUAUGCUAAGCUGAAAGGCGACGUAUAUGGGCUGACACCUGCCCAGUGCCGGAAGGUUAAGAGGAGGGUUUAGCGACUCAAAUUGAAGCCCCGGUGAACGGCGGCCGUAACUAUAACGGUCCUAAGGUAGCGAAAUUCCUUGUCGGGUAAG
This 1517-nucleotide ribosomal RNA is filed under the name metagenome. Its description in RNAcentral is "bacterial LSU rRNA". It matches the Rfam family "Bacterial large subunit ribosomal RNA", at positions 476 to 1980 of the family's 2925-position model. The record is from RNAcentral.